UGGGGAAUCUUAGACAAUGGGCGCAAGCCUGAUCUAGCGAUGCCGCGUGAGUGACGAAGGUCUUAGGAUCGUAAAGCUCUUUCGCCAGGGAUGAUGAUGACAGUACCUGGUAAAGAAACCCCGGCUAACUCCGUGCCAGCAGCCGCGGUAAUACGGAGGGGGUUAGCGUUGUUCGGAAUUACUGGGCGUAAAGCGCACGUAGGCGGACUAUUAAGUCAGAGGUGAAAUCCCGGGGCUCAACCCCGGAACUGCCUUUGAUACUGGUAGUCUUGAGUUCGAGAGAGGUGAGUGGAAUUCCGAGUGUAGAGGUGAAAUGCGUAGAGAUCGGCAGGAACACCCAGGGGGAAGCCAGCAUACUGGACAGGUCCUGACACUCAGGUGCGACAGCGUGGGGAGCGAACCGGAUUAGAUACCCGCGUAGUCC
This 424-nucleotide ribosomal RNA is filed under the name uncultured prokaryote. RNAcentral describes it as "partial 16S ribosomal RNA". It matches the Rfam family "Bacterial small subunit ribosomal RNA", at positions 355 to 796 of the family's 1533-position model. The record is from RNAcentral.